UGGGGAAUAUUGCACAAUGGGCGCAAGCCUGAUGCAGCCAUGCCGCGUGUGUGAAGAAGGCCUUCGGGUUGUAAAGCACUUUCAGCGAGGAGGAAGGUGGUGGACUUAAUACGUUCAUCAAUUGACGUUACUCGCAGAAGAAGCACCGGCUAACUCCGUGCCAGCAGCCGCGGUAAUACGGAGGGUGCAAGCGUUAAUCGGAAUUACUGGGCGUAAAGCGCACGCAGGCGGUUUGUUAAGUCAGAUGUGAAAUCCCCGGGCUCAACCUGGGAACUGCAUUUGAAACUGGCAAGCUAGAGUCUCGUAGAGGGGGGUAGAAUUCCAGGUGUAGCGGUGAAAUGCGUAGAGAUCUGGAGGAAUACCGGUGGCGAAGGCGGCCCCCCUGGACGAAGACUGACGCUCAGGUGCGAAAGCGUGGGGAGCAAACAGAUUAGAUACCCUGGUAGUCCACGCUGUAAACGAUGUCGAUUUGGAGGUUGUGCCCUUGAGGCGUGG
This 495-nucleotide ribosomal RNA is filed under the name uncultured bacterium. RNAcentral describes it as "partial 16S ribosomal RNA". It matches the Rfam family "Bacterial small subunit ribosomal RNA", at positions 355 to 842 of the family's 1533-position model. The record is from RNAcentral.